This is a long non-coding RNA of Magallana angulata, 3011 nucleotides long. RefSeq lists it as uncharacterized. The transcript has 2 exons. Lineage: Eukaryota; Metazoa; Mollusca; Bivalvia; Ostreida; Ostreidae. The record is from RefSeq and is a predicted model, not a curated record.
UACAAAUGCAUCCAAUCCAAAUAUAUAAUAUCCACAUGUACACAAUGGCAUGCAGUUAAACACCCAACAGUAUACAGUUCAUUGGGGUUUUCACAACUUGGUUGCAAAACAUGUAACAUCGCAGCCAUGUUUGGUAUUAGAUACCAGAUUUAGUUGCAAAAUAUGUUUAUGAUAUGGUUAAUAUGAUAGGUUGUUUGUACAUGUAUCAUAGAAAGAUUAUGUAGCUCGGAAAACAAACUGUAUCACAAAAUAUUUCUAUCUUUAGAAUUGAUAUUGAUAGCGAUUGUCACAACCACUUUCAGUAAUUCACUAAUUUACAUACUAGUAUAGCAAAAAACAUGUAGGACCCCCCUCCCGAAAAAAUGAUAUUCUCAACGAAUACUAUUAUUUUUUUACAGGGAGUAUAUAGGAGGCCGGUUACAUUAAUCAAAUCACAAAUUAGCUAUUACUGUACAUGAUAUAUCGUCUUUAAAUUUUGAAUAAAGUUAAUAUAUAUUGCUGAUGACGAUUGUAGGGUCAUUUCAUAUCCUGAUGUUUUGUACAUUGCAUAGCGAUACAUCAGAAGUGCGAAGACAAGGACCGUGAAUGAAUCCCAAAAUAAGUGAACGUCGUUGCAAGUUUUAGGAAAAGUUAAUCUGUAUUUUAUCAAUGCCAUGCAGCAUAUAAAUCAGACCCACCGCUGUGGGAAUUAUCUCUCAUGAGAAUAGUGAUAAAAUGCGAUCUGCAAGCUUACAGAAAAGUCGGGCAAACUGUUUUGGAGGAAGUAAACAGUGAAGUGGAACAGCGAUAAAGGUACAUGUAGCUGAAUAAAGUAUGGAUUGGUUUGAAAUGGGGAACACAUGUUUCUUCGGAUAAAAUGAGACCCAACCUUUGUGUAUCAGGACCAGUUAUAAAGACUAUAUGUUGGACACCUACAUGUAUACCAGACGUGGAAUAUUCAUGAGAUACUGACUGGAUGUGUUGGAAGGAUUUAUUGGCAACAACUUUCGUGAAAACAUAUCAGCGCGUCAGGGUGGAUAUUUUUCGAGGAAUUUUCAAUAGGAAGACAAUAUAAGUUUAUAUAGGCAUCUAGCGUUAGAAACCUUACUCUAUACGCUAUAUAUUUUCCCGAGUGUCGCAAAAAAGUACGAUUGUGAAAGCUUAGCGUGUAGGUCUUUAAAUCCUCCCAGGAACCAAUGUACCCGAAAUGCCAGAAAUUACAUAAAGGCUUCCUAGUUAAAUUUUGAUUAAUAAUGCGAUCAUCCCUCCGAAUUAUAGUUAAACAGAAUAUGUAGCUUUUUAGCGAUUAAAGAAAAUAAAUAAAUGCUACAUUUAUUCAAAUUAUAGUUAAAACAUUCCAAAACAAUGUUUGAUAAGACGACCAGUGUAGAUAAGUUGACUGUCCGCAUUGUGUGGGACCGCAUGAAAGAAUUGCAGCACAGUCAUUUUUUGUUUAUUUUUAAUGUUUCGACUUUGUGAAGAUGUCGUCUUGUGUUGGGGGAAAUUUACCCCCAAAGAAUUGCAACACACACACACACACACACACACACACACACACACACACACACACACACACAUUUUUUAGUUUAUUAUAAAGUCUUAAAAGUAAAAAUGUCGUCUUGUAUUGGGGGAAAUUUACCCCCAAAGAUAUUGCAACACAAUCAUUCUUUGUUUUUUUUAUCGCUUCGACUUUCUAAAGAUGUCGUCUUGUGUUGGAGGAAAUUAACUCCAAAGAAUUGUAACACAGAAACUUUUUUAAGGCUUUGACUUUGUAAAGAUGCGGUCUUGUGUUGGAGGAAAUUUACUCCAAAAAAUUGUAACACAGAAAAUUUGUUUAAGGCUUUGACUUUGUAAAGAUGCGUCUUGUGUUAGAGGAAAUUUAUUCCAAAGAUUUGUAACACGGACAUUUUUUUUAAGGCUCUGACAUUGCAAAGAUGCGGUCUUGUGUUGGAGGAAAUUUACUCCAAAGAAUUGAAACACUGUAAUUUUUAGGGUUUUAAUUUACGGCUUUGACUUUGUAAAGAUACGGUCUUGUGUUGGAGGAAAUUUACUCCAAAGAAUUGAAACGCAUACAUUUUUUUGUAAGGCUUUGUCUCUGUAAAGAAGCGUCUUGUGUUGGAGGAAAUUUACUCCAAAGAAUUGUAACGCAUACAUUUUUUUUGUAAGGCUUUGUCUUUGUAAAGAUGCGUCUUGUGUUGGAGGAAAUUUAAUCCAAGGAAUUGUAACACAGUCAUUUUUUUGUUUAUCAUUAAGUCUUCAAAUUUGUAAAGUUGAUGUCUUGUGUUGGAGGAAAUUAACCCCAAUGAAUUUCAACACAGUUAUUUUCUGUUUAUUUUUAAAGCUUUGAGAUCAUAUAGAUGUCGUUUUGUGUUGUGGGAAAUUUACCUCAAAGAAUUGCAACACAAUCAUUUUGUGUAUAUUCAUAUCGCUACGAUCCGAAUUUAUAUAGAUGUCCUCUUGUGUUGGAGGAAAUUUACCCCAAAGAUAUUGCAACACAGUCAAUUUCUGUAUUUCUUUAUCCCGUCGACUUUGUAUUGAUGUGGUUUUGUGCUGGGGAAGAUUUACCCCAAAGAAUUGCAACAGAUAUGCAUACCUGUAUAGAUUUUGAGGUUGAAAAUUUGUAAAGACGAUGUUUCAUCUUGGGGGUAAAUUUACCCGAACAGUGUAACAUAUAAUCCAUUGUCUCAGAUUAAUCGCUUGCAUAAAAUGCAUUGUAUUUGGGGGUAAAUUUACUCUGAAAAAAAACGAUUCGAUUUUUUUCUUGAAAAUAACAAUUUUUUGUAAAUAGAAUUUAAGUAUAUUCUGCAUAAUUUUUUGGAUAUGUCACAGCUUCACUUUCACAAGUAACUGUUUUUGCAUUUGUCUUUUACUUGUUUAUUCUCCUAACACCCCUAGGCCUCUUAAAAAUUCUUAAUUCCAUAUAUACAGAGAAGCUUGGUUAGUUUUUGGGGGUAAAUUUCUAUUCUGAAGAGUUUCUUGAUUUCUUGUUACGUGUUAUGCUGUGUUAUGCGGAAAAUAAAGCUUAAACUGUC